UUCUAUUUUUUCAAUUUGGGAGAGAUGGCUGAGUGGACUAAAGCGUCGGAUUGCUAAUCCGUUGUACGAAAUUUUCGUACCGAGGGUUCG
Molecule: transfer RNA, 90 nt
Filed under: Brachystegia kennedyi
Lineage: Eukaryota; Viridiplantae; Streptophyta; Magnoliopsida; Fabales; Fabaceae
Description: tRNA-Ser
Rfam family: tRNA (bases 19-90)
About the family: Transfer RNA (tRNA) molecules are approximately 80 nucleotides in length. Their secondary structure includes four short double-helical elements and three loops (D, anti-codon, and T loops). Further hydrogen bonds mediate the characteristic L-shaped molecular structure. tRNAs have two regions of fundamental functional importance: the anti-codon, which is responsible for specific mRNA codon recognition, and the 3' end, to which the tRNAs corresponding amino acid is attached (by aminoacyl-tRNA synthetases). tRNAs cope with the degeneracy of the genetic code in two manners: having more than one tRNA (with a specific anti-codon) for a particular amino acid; and 'wobble' base-pairing, i.e. permitting non-standard base-pairing at the 3rd anti-codon position.
Source: RNAcentral